Prunus dulcis (almond) is the source of this 1532-nucleotide long non-coding RNA. RefSeq lists it as uncharacterized. The record is from RefSeq and is a predicted model, not a curated record. The transcript is spliced from 5 exons. Lineage: Eukaryota; Viridiplantae; Streptophyta; Magnoliopsida; Rosales; Rosaceae.
GUAGUUGAACGUGCAUCAUCAUUUCAUAACAUGGCCUUGUUCGCAUUCCUGCUUUUGUUUUUUUUAAAAGAAAGGUUCCAUUGCUUUCAAUUGCAGAUUCUCUUUUUAAAUGACAACCACAAUACCAUGUAUGUCUAUUUGGUUUCUGGGGAAAUUUUGUUGGCGAAACGAGUGGAAGUAGAAUUCUAAUUUCUUGUUAUCUUUACUAUAUUGUUAUAUUCUGCUCCAUUAUCAUUGUUGUUUUUACAGGGACGAAGAAUUGCUGCUGACAAAUUGGAGUAUUCUUGAACUCUUACAACCUCAAAUGGUAAUGUUUGAAAACUCUUCAACUUGUGCGGGGUACCUAGAUUAGUCAAUAUGCAUGUUUUAUAGUAUGCAUAGGUGCAAUGUACCUAGCAUUUACACUUUCAUUAUUUCGGUAGUCAAAUCACAGCUUCAAGUGCAAUUGUUAAAAUUGCUUAUGAAGAAAUUUCAAUUAUUUCUAGUUGGCUUGACAUAUUAUUCUUCUCGUUUUCUUUGCCCUGGUUAUAUCUCGAAGUAGGAUAAAUGUGCAGACCAUUUACUUUAUGUUUUUACAGUAAACCUUUAGUUAAUUUUAGUGGAAGAUGAUAAAUGCAAGUCAUGAAGUUUCGUGGCACAGCUCAGAAUCAAUUACCAGGUCCAUACAGAUGCAAAUUGUUGAUGCACUGCGCUUGGGUGAGAGAAGCAAAGCUUCCAAUCAGCUUUUGAAUCUUGGCCAUGGGAAUGAUUUGUUAAGAGCUGAUGAUUUCGUCUAUAUUCUUAAUUACCGUGCAAAGUCACCUGAUCCAUUGUUUGUCAUGGAGACUUGGAGAAUAAUGGAUGAAAAAGAGAUUAGCCUGAAUAACAUAUGCUCUUUGCUUAUGGUGCAUGCUCUAUGUAAAGGAGGAUAUUUGGAGGAAGUAGGAUUCAUGCUAUAUACUUAAAAGGCAUUUAAGUUGAUAAAUUUCCUUGGAGAAAGUCCUGGUAUCUAUCCAGUUCUACCUAUCUACAACAGUUUCUUAAGGGCUUGUGCCAAAAUGCAGAGUAUAAUAAAUGCCAAUCAGUGUUUGGACUUAAUGGAGCGUCAAAUGGUGGGGAUGGGAAAGAAUGAAGUUACAUAUUCAGAGCUUCUCAAGAUCAGUGCACUACUUUUGGCUUGGGAGUUGGAGAAGAAAAUGUUGGAAUGGAUAUGCUUGAUAUACAUAUUAGCCAGCCUGUUACGAAAAUUUUGAGAUGGUCGUUCAGUGAUGUUAUUCAUCCUUGUGCACGAUUAAGAAAUGGUGGCUUGGCAGAAGAGUUGAUCCUACAGAUGCAAAAAUUUGGGUUGCAACCGUCAAGCCAUACAUAUGAUGGCUUUGUCAGAGCAGUUACUUCUGAGCGAGGUUUCAGUAGUGGAGUGGAAAUUGAAAGUGAUUGGUUUAUUGUAGAGGCCAAUCAUCUUAAAAAGACUGAUCUUGCAAUUGUUGGCAAUGUAUUUUGUGCAUUUUGGUUUUGUUUUUAAUUAGAGAUUUUUGCAACAUUGUUGUUAUCCC